Long non-coding RNA from Bombus pyrosoma, 4904 nucleotides. RefSeq lists it as uncharacterized. The record is from RefSeq and is a predicted model, not a curated record. Lineage: Eukaryota; Metazoa; Arthropoda; Insecta; Hymenoptera; Apidae. The transcript is spliced from 3 exons.
CAUCCACAUGCUAUUCAAUCAUAUGUUAUAACAUUUUACCUAAUGUCCCACUGGACAAAUUGUAAAAUUAAAAAUAAACAAUAUAAUNAAAAAAAAAAAAAAAAAAAAAUGUCAGGUUAGUACAAUCACUAAUUCCUACAUGCAGAGUUGGUACGACUACUUGCGAUUCUCUUCUGUUUUUCUCCGUUCGCCACGUUUUGUUUAUCUGAGUAUCCGAUAUGUUGAAAAUGGCUGUACAAGGUGGUGAAAUACAGAGUAUAACUAACAAAUCUGUGUGAAUCGAUUAAAUGUCAAACCCCAAACCUAUUUAAUAAUACAGGCAGUUUUCGACAAUUUGAUUAUCACAACAAGGAAAGAAAUUUUAAAUUUACAAUUCUCCAGAACCACCGGAAUACGAAUUAAACAAAGUAACUGCACCGGUUGCUCUCUUUAGCAGUGAUAAUGAUUUACUUUUAACAAAGAUAGAUGUUGAUCUUCUGAAAAGCAAACUCAAUAAUAUUGUAUUACAUGAAGAAGUAUCCAUUAAGUCCUUCUCCCAUUAUGACUUUAUAUGAGAAAGAUAUUUAACAUCAACCAUAUUUGAACUUAUAUUAGUCUUAUGAGUAAAAUCUGCAAUACUAUGUCUUGAACUACAAAAAAGGAAACAAUGAAUAUAGUUUUAACACAACUAUUAUUUUCAACAAUACUAAAUAAAAAUAUUAUUAAAAAUCAAUAACGACACUAUAAAAGGUAAUAGAUAAAAUAAUAAAUAAAAUCCUUUUCGAACUAAGAUAAAUAAAUAUCUGAUCGUAAGGCCUUUAUUUAGGGGUUAAAAAACAAACAUUAUUCAAGCAGUAUAAUUUAACAACACAGGGUUUAAAAUGCUAUUAUUAAAAUUUAUUUAUACAGUAUAUAUCAGAUAACUGAUAACAGUCAAACUACAAAACAUAAGUUAAAAUUUAUAAAAUUCCUAUUAACUUCAUAUAUAUAGUAACAUUUUGAUACAAUUUGAGAUAUAGGUAUCAAUAAAUCAUUAGCAUUACUAAAUAUUACUAUAUAUAUCAUCGAUAAAAAAGAAUGAAUGGAAUGUUUUAAUUAAUUUAUCAGUCACUCAUUACAAUAAUUCAAGAAAUAAAUUUUUCCUCCAUUUAUUUCCAUUUGAUUUUUCUUACGUUUAUAUUUUCUCGUUAUAAACAAAGCGACUACACAAAACUCUUCUUCAUUUUGGUUUCCAUUAUUAACUAUUAUUACUUUUAUCAUUUUGUUAUAAAAACAAAAUGUACUACAGAAAAUUUUCGUUCUGAUCUUGUGGUUAUAUAAUUAAUAUUUUAAUUAAUCGUCGAAUAAUUUUCGAACAUUGUUACUUAACAUUAGUAAUUACAUCAGUGUACAAACUCGUCCUUCGCCCGAAUUGAAGUUCAGUACGAUGGAAAACUGAGUUUUGAACAACAAGGCAUAUAUUGUAAAAUUCCUUUCACAUACAUAUAUACACAUGUGUAUAUGUAUAUAUAUAAAUGAUAACAAGCAUUCUCUUUUCAUUUUGAGCGCUAACAAUAGAAUAUUUAAAUAACGUAGUUCUAUAAUUUUUUAUCUUCGUAGUCUUUACUUGCAGCAGAAGCCAUCUUUGUUUAAUAUACUCUUUUUUUAAUUAUAUUCUUGGAACUGCCGUAUGGAACAUACUUUUCGACACACGAAAAAGCAUCUCAUUGUAAUGCAAAACACUACCAAAUAAUAUAGAAAAUUAAUUGUGAAUAAUUAAAAAAAAAAUUGAUUGAUUCAAUUUCGUUUCAACGACAGUGCUACAACGGAAGAUAAUGCUAUCCAUUUGAACAACAAUAAUAAUAUGUUAUAAAGUAAUUACAAUAUUUAAAAUGAUACCUAUAUUUAUUGUGUGAUAUAUAUAUAUAAUAUAUAAUAUAUAAUAUAUAUUUAUAUCAUGUUUAUAUAUAUAUAUUUAUAUUAUAAUAUAUAUAUAAACCAAAGUACAAUUAUCUUUUUAAAUUAUAUACAUGCAUAAAUAUAUAUACAUUUAGUAUACAGGGCGAGGCACUUAAAAUACAAGUAGUAGAACCAUGUCUUUUAUAAUUAAUUAAACCUCAUUUCUGUUUCUAAAGUUAGUAUUUGCAUAUUAUUAGAUUUCAAACAAUGAAGAGUAAAGUGUAAUAAUAAUUAUGAUCUUCUUUAUGUCAUUUAUGUAAUCUCUGAUAUUAAUUGAAAUUAAUUAAUUUUUUAUAUAAACACAUAAAAUGUUAACCUUAAGAUACAUUUCAAUCUUUAUUGAAUACGCGCAGACAUAUUGUAAAUUCUAUAAUUAUAUAUCUUAGAAGCUUUUAUUUUUAAAAUUUUCAUUGAUAUGUUUCUUUUUAAUACGAAUAUAUACUUAUUUUUAAAACAAUACUUUGUUAUUCAUUAGCGUAAUGCAUAUUUCAUAUGUUUAUAAUUAAAUAUAAAUAUAGCAGCCAAAUUAGUCAGAUCAUUCAAGUGAUAGAAAAUAACUUGAAUAUUAAAAUAACAGUAACUUAUACAUAUAUUCAAAAAUUAUUUAUAAAUAUAAUACUUCUAAUACAUGAUAGAAAAUAAAACAAUACUUCCUUAUUCGUUAAAGACAAAUUAUUUUGGAAUAUAUUAUCUUACUAAUGUACUUCAACUAUACUCAAAAUCAUUCCUGCCCAAAUUAACAAAAAUAAAAGUCGUGCAAGUAGUAAUGUUUUUUUAACUGAUAAUUCUUAGAGAAAAAACAAUAAAAACUACUUUUUACACAUAUUUGUGACCAUAGUUAAAUUAAAAAAUAAUUAGUUUUUGCAAUCCAAAACUAAAAUUUUUAACAAUUAGUCUACAGGUGUGCCUUCCUAACUAUUGUAUUCUUUUUUAAGAAAAUAUACAUAUGUAUACCAUUAUGUUAUCUAUUGUUUAAAAUCUAUUUAUAAUAUUAUAUUUUCUUCUUUUCUCAGUUAUGUAAAUAAUUUGUUUAUUUAAGCUUCUAAUUGUUACUAUACUAUAAAGAAAAAGAAUUGGAUUUUUGAAAUAUAAAAUAAAUAGAUAUCCAUGAGAAUACUGAUUACAAUAUUUGCAACAGCAUUAAAUUAAUGUUUAUAAAAAAAUAUUAUAUAUAUUAUUACAUAUUUACUACUAUUACUUUUGCAGUAAGUACGAUAAAAGAUAACAUUGUGAAAAGAAAGUAUUAAAUUUCAAUGUUUUAAUUUCAAUGUGAUAAAUUAAAGAAGCAAAUUUAGAAAAAAUAUUUCAUUAUUUAUAGUUUAUAGACAUAUUUGUGAUGACUCUUUUGAUAACGAAAGAAAAUAAAUAUUAUAUUUCCAAAAAUAAGAACGAUCAUAUUGUUCAACAUAAGACUUUUAUUUUGAUUCAAUUAAUUCAAUUCAAAGAUCUUAAUUGAAAUUCGUAAGAAUCAAAAUGUCUCACUCUGCAUAGUAUAGUAUACAUAUCCGGCAUGUGUGAAUUUAAGAAAAUUCACUAAUUUUUUGUAAAACUCCUUUCAUAUAAAGUGUUUUGGUAAUUUCAUUUUCGUGUGUGUCCUUAUUCUAAAUUCCUUUCGGAUUAUCUUAAUUUUUAUGUCGAAUCUUCAUAAUUCUCUAUUUUUUCCAAGACUUUCUAAGGUCUUUUCAUAUUUAUAAUCAUCACAGGAGUGAAUAACCGUCAGUAGUAAAUAAUUUUGGUACAAUGUAACAAUAAAAAAUAACUUAAAAUUGAUCAAUGUAAAAUGAUUAACAUCUUGUUUAAACGUAAAGUAGUAAUAUAAAAUUGCACAAAAUUUAGGUUGUAUUAUGUUUAUUAAUCAGAAAUUAAUUUAGAUCCUACUCGUAAUCUUGUUUAUUAGAUUUCACUAUAACAAAAGGUAUUAACAAAAUAACAGCGAGAUGAAUUUCUUUGCUUUCUUAAUCGCACAUAGGGUGAUCUAAGGUUUGCAAUGGAUACAAAAAGAUAUGGCAGUGGAAGACCUUCAUUUUAUAUCCCUAUAAAUAUCGUUAGCUUACAAAAAUGAUGAUAUUUAAUUUAUAUUAGAAAUAUGAAAAUAGUAAUAGAAACUGGAAAAUUAGUCCAUUUAGAAUACAAAAACAAUGCUUAUCAUUUUGUGCAAUUUUAACUUUUUAUUUCUACUAUCUUAUAACAAAAGAAAGUAUUGAACAAAAUGCAUCGAUAAAAAUUAAUAUAAUAUUGCUUAUAAAAGAAAGUUUAAUACCAAAAUUAUUUACUAUAUAACUUUCACAUCCUUGAACGCAAACAAAAAUAUUUGCAAAAUUGUAUAUGUAAUACUAUAAAUUGUGAUGUGAUUAAGAUUAUUUCUUCCUUCUUCCCUUAAUAUAUUGUGAUCAACAAUUUCCUUUUAGAAGUGUUUCACUAAUGUAUUAUAACAUUAAAUAUAAAGAAAAAGAAAAAUGUAGAAAACAAAAAUCAGUUUUUUUUUUUAGAAAUUUUAUACUUACGUUCGCUAUAUUUUUUUCUCAAACGUAAUUAAUCUAUAAUAUACAAUAUUUUUUUCUUAAAUAGAUAUUAGUUCGUUAGAAAUAUUUUGUUGCUAUUGUUUUUAGUGAAUACGUUCAUGCAAGCGAUAUAAUAGAUCGUACAAUGCUCGUAAAUAUUAAUAGAACGACUGCGCAACGGAAUGACAUAUUACCUACGAGAUUAAUCGAAGCAGUCAGGUACAUUUUCCAUUUUAAUUAAUUUCUCUUCUAAAAAUAGCUGAAAAUAAUACCCAUUAAUAACGCUUAAAUUGCAGCACCAUGUGAAAGAAGAGUUCAACACGAUCAUAUAUAUGUGACGCAAAUUAAAUACUUUUUUCUUCCAAUACUUAAUACAAGGAUUCUGUAAACUUUAACUUCGUUACAGGUUUCAAAUCUCUUGCAAUCUACAAAAUUUAUAUUAGCUAUUAAUUAGAGGCAAUCUCGUAAUAUUAAAUAAGCCUUAUU